CUGCAUUGCACCGCCAUGAUGGGCCAUAGUCCCAUACUUGUGCUUAGCCAGAACACAAAGGGUGAAUCUGGAAGAGAGUUCAGUCUGGAAACAUCAAUGCUGCUAAGACUAUUGCAGAUAUCAUCCGAACACAUUUGUCCAUGAUGAAGAUGCUUUGGGACCCAAUGGGAGGCAUUGUGAUGACCAAUGAUGGCAAUACCAUUCUUUGAGAGAUUCAAGUCCAGCAUCCAGCAGCCAAAUCAAUGAUUGAAAUUAACCAGAUGUAAGAUGAAGAAGUUGGAGAUGGGACCACAUCAGUAAUUAUUCUUGUGGGGGAAAUGUUAUCUGUGGCUGAGCAUUUCCUAGAACAUCAGAUGCAUCCAACAGUGGUGAUCAGUGCUUACCACAAAGCAUUGGAUGAUAUGAUCAACACUUUAAAGAAAAUCAGUACCCCUGUUGACAUCAAUAACCGUGACGUCAUGCUGAACAUCAUUAACAGCUUCGUUACUACCAAAGCCAUCAGCUGGUGGUCUUCUCUGGUGUGCAACAUUGCCCUGGAUGCUGUCAAGACUGUACAGUAUGAGGAGAAUGGUCAGAAGCAGAUUGACAUCAAAACAUAUGCAAGGGUGGAAAAGAUACCUGGGGGUAUCAUUGAAGACUCAUGUGUCUUCUGUGGAGUCAUGAUUAAGAAGGAUGUGACCCAUCCACGAAUGCGGUGCUACAUCAAGAACCCUCGGAUUGUGCUGUUGGACUCUUCCCUGGAAUACAAGAAAGGGGAAAGCCAGACUGACAUUAAGAUUACACGAGAGGAAGACUUUACCCGAAUCCUCCAGAUGGAAGAAGAGUAUAUCUAGCAGCUCUGUGAGGACAUUAUCCAGCUAAAGCCUGAUGUGGUCAUCACAGAAAAGGGCAUCUCGGAUUUAGCUCAGCACUACCUCAUGUGGGCCAAUAUCACAGCCAUCUGUAGAGUCCAGAAGACAGACAAUAAUCACAUUGCUAGAGCCUGGGGGGCCCAGAUAGCCGACCAGAGGAACUGAGAGAGGAUGAUGUUGGAAUAGGAGCAGGCUUGUUAGAAAUCAAGAAAACUGGAGAGAAGUACUUUACAUUCAUCACUAAGUGCAAAGACCCCAAGGCCUACAGCAUUCUCCUCUGGGGAGCCAGCAAAGAGAUUCUUUCAGAAGUGGAACCCAACCACUAGGACGCCAUGCAAGAGUGUCGCAAGGUUCUUCUGGACCCUCAGCUGGUGCCAGGGGGUAGAGCCUCUGAGAUGGCUGUGGCCCAUGCCUUGACAGAGAAAUCUAAGGCCAUGACUGGUGUGGAACAGUUGCCAUAUAGUGUUGUUGCACAGGCACUAGAGGUCAUCCCUCAUACCCUGAUCCAGAACUGUGGAGCUGGCACUAUCCAUCUGCUUACCUCCCUUUGUGCCAAGCAUACCCAGGAGAACUGUGAGACUUGGGGCGUAAAUGGUGAAACCGGAACUUUGGUGGACAUAAAAGAACUAGGCAUAUGGGAGCCAUUGGCCGUGAAGCUGCAGACAUAUAAGACAGCAGUAGAGACGGCAGUUCUGCUACUACGGAUUGAUGACAUCAUCUCAGGCCACAAAAAGAAGGGCGAUGACCAGAGCCACCAAGGUGGGGCUCCUGAUGCUGGCCAGGAGUGAGUGCUGGCAAA
Molecule: RNA transcript, 1650 nt
Organism: Otolemur garnettii (small-eared galago)
Lineage: Eukaryota; Metazoa; Chordata; Mammalia; Primates; Galagidae
Gene name: T-complex protein 1 subunit gamma-like
Exons: 1
Source: RefSeq, a predicted model, not a curated record